RNAcentral lists this ribosomal RNA (509 nucleotides) under uncultured bacterium. Its description in RNAcentral is "bacterial SSU rRNA". It matches the Rfam family "Bacterial small subunit ribosomal RNA", at positions 28 to 526 of the family's 1533-position model. The record is from RNAcentral.
GAUGAACGCUAGCUACAGGCUUAACACAUGCAAGUCGAGGGGCAGCAUGUUGGUUGCUUGCAACCAAUGAUGGCGACCGGCGCACGGGUGAGUAACGCGUAUCCAACCUUCCCCUUAGUAGAGGAUAGCCCGGCGAAAGUCGGAUUAACACUCUAUGUUGUAUUUUGAUGGCAUCUGACGAAUACCAAAGAUUUAUCGCUAAGGGAUGGGGAUGCGUCUGAUUAGGUUGCAGGCGGGGUAACGGCCCACCUGGCCUACGAUCAGUAGGGGUUCUGAGAGGAAGGUCCCCCACACUGGUACUGAGACACGGACCAGACUCCUACGGGAGGCAGCAGUGAGGAAUAUUGGUCAAUGGGCGCGAGCCUGAACCAGCCAAGUAGCGUGCAGGACGACUGCCCUAUGGGUUGUAAACUGCUUUUAUCAGGGAAUAAAGUGAGGCACGCGUGCCUUUUUGUAUGUACCUGAUGAAUAAGGACCGGCUAAUUCCGUGCCAGCCGCCGCCGUAACAC